ACUAAAUAGAUACCCUGGUAGUCCACGCCGUAAACGUUGGGCGCUAGGUGUGGGGCUCUUUCCACGAGUUCCGUGCCGCAGCAAAAACGCAUUAAGCGCCCCGCCUGGGGAGUACGGCCGCAAGGCUAAAACUCAAAGGAAUUGACGGGGGCCCGCACAAGCGGCGGAGCAUGCGGAUUAAAUUCGAUGCAACGCGAAGAACCUUACCAAGGCUUGACAUACGCAGAAAACCGGCAGAGAUGUCGGGUCCGUAAGGGCUGUGUACAGGUGGUGCAUGGUUGUCGUCAGCUCGUGUCGUGAGAUGUUGGGUUAAGUCCCGCAACGAGCGCAACCCUCGUUCCAUGUUGCCAGCACGUAAUGGUGGGGACUCAUGGGAGACUGCCGGGGUCAACUCGGAGGAAGGUGGGGAUGACGUCAAAUCAUCAUGCCCCUUAUGUCUUGGGCUUCACGCAUGCUACAAUGGCCAGUACAAAGGGCUGCGAGACCGUAAGGUGGAGCGAAUCCCAAAAGCUGGUCUCAGUUCGGAUCGGGGUCUGCAAC
This 540-nucleotide ribosomal RNA is filed under the name uncultured bacterium. RNAcentral's name for it is "bacterial SSU rRNA". It matches the Rfam family "Bacterial small subunit ribosomal RNA", at positions 772 to 1311 of the family's 1533-position model. The record is from RNAcentral.